CCUACGGGGGGCAGCAGUGGGGAAUAUUGCACAAUGGGCGCAAGCCUGAUGCAGCCAUGCCGCGUGUAUGAAGAAGGCCUUCGGGUUGUAAAGUACUUUCAACGGGGAGGAAGGUGUUGAGGUUAAUAACCUCAGCAAUUGACGUUACCCGCAGAAGAAGCACCGGCUAACUCCGUGCCAGCAGCCGCGGUAAUACGGAGGGUGCAAGCGUUAAUCGGAAUUACUGGGCGUAAAGCGCACGCAGGCGGUCUGUCAAGUCGGAUGUGAAAUCCCGGGCUCAACCUGGGAACUGCAUUCGAAACUGGCAGGCUAGAGUCUUGUAGAGGGGGGUAGAAUUCCAGGUGUAGCGGUGAAAUGCGUAGAGAUCUGGAGGAAUGCCGGUGGCGAAGGCGGCCCCCUGGACAAAGACUGACGCUCAGGUGCGAAAGCGUGGGGAGCAAACAGGAUUAGAUACCCGAGUAGUC
This 464-nucleotide ribosomal RNA is filed under the name uncultured bacterium. RNAcentral's name for it is "bacterial SSU rRNA". It matches the Rfam family "Bacterial small subunit ribosomal RNA", at positions 338 to 795 of the family's 1533-position model. The record is from RNAcentral.